UGCCAAUGUUCAGCCUGUGAU
This 21-nucleotide non-coding RNA is filed under the name Mus musculus (house mouse). The record is from RNAcentral. Lineage: Eukaryota; Metazoa; Chordata; Mammalia; Rodentia; Muridae.